GCACUCAUAGCUCAAUUGGAUAGAGUACUUGACUACGAAUCAAGCGGUUAGAGGUUCGACUCCUCUUGGGUGCG
This 74-nucleotide transfer RNA is filed under the name Alloiococcus otitis ATCC 51267. It matches the Rfam family "tRNA". From Rfam's summary of the family: Transfer RNA (tRNA) molecules are approximately 80 nucleotides in length. Their secondary structure includes four short double-helical elements and three loops (D, anti-codon, and T loops). Further hydrogen bonds mediate the characteristic L-shaped molecular structure. tRNAs have two regions of fundamental functional importance: the anti-codon, which is responsible for specific mRNA codon recognition, and the 3' end, to which the tRNAs corresponding amino acid is attached (by aminoacyl-tRNA synthetases). tRNAs cope with the degeneracy of the genetic code in two manners: having more than one tRNA (with a specific anti-codon) for a particular amino acid; and 'wobble' base-pairing, i.e. permitting non-standard base-pairing at the 3rd anti-codon position. The record is from Rfam by way of RNAcentral. Lineage: Bacteria; Bacillati; Bacillota; Bacilli; Lactobacillales; Carnobacteriaceae.